RNAcentral lists this unclassified non-coding RNA (298 nucleotides) under uncultured fungus. RNAcentral's name for it is "partial contains 5.8S ribosomal RNA, internal transcribed spacer 2, and large subunit ribosomal RNA". Lineage: Eukaryota; Fungi. The record is from RNAcentral.
AACGCAUCUUGCACCCUUUGGUCUUCCAAAGGGUAUGCCUGUUUGAGUAUCAUUAAUAUCAUCAACACAUGAACUUAUGUGAUAUGUGUUUGGAUGCUGAAGGUAUGCCAGCUUUUAUGGUUGGCUCCUUUUAAAUGAAUUAGCAGAAUCAAUGAUUGGCUUCAGUUUGAUAAUUAGGUUUUAUCUAUGCUGUUGCUUGUUGAUUGAUCAGCUUAACAAUAGUCUCAUAAGACUGCCUCUGAGGCAAUAUGAAUUUUACAUUGAUCUCAAAUCAGGUAGGAUUACCCGCUGAACUUAA